This 334-nucleotide unclassified non-coding RNA is filed under the name soil metagenome. RNAcentral describes it as "partial contains 5.8S ribosomal RNA, internal transcribed spacer 2, and large subunit ribosomal RNA". The stretch from base 1 to 120 matches the Rfam family "5.8S ribosomal RNA", at positions 35 to 154 of the family's 154-position model. The record is from RNAcentral.
GAUGAAGAACGCAGCGAAAUGCGAUAAGUAAUGUGAAUUGCAGAAUUCAGUGAAUCAUCGAAUCUUUGAACGCACAUUGCGCCCGCCAGUAUUCUGGCGAGCAUGCCUGUUCGAGCGUCAUUUCAACCAUCAAGCCCCAGGCUUGUGUUGGAGCCCUGCGGCUGCCGCAGCCUCCCAAAACCAGUGGCGGGCUCGCUAUCACACCGAGUGCAGUAGUUUACUCUUCGCUCAGGGCGUGUGGCGGGUGCUAGCCGUGAAACCCCCAACUUCUCAAGGUUGACCUCGGAUCAGGUAGGAAGACCCGCUGAACUUAAGCAUAUCAAUAAGCGGAGGA